Molecule: unclassified non-coding RNA, 223 nt
Filed under: plant metagenome
Description: partial contains small subunit ribosomal RNA, internal transcribed spacer 1, and 5.8S ribosomal RNA
Source: RNAcentral
UUUCCGUAGGUGAACCUGCGGAAGGAUUAUUAAAGAGAAUAUGCCCUUCGGGGUAGAUCUCCCACCCUUUGUUUAUAUUACCUUUGUUGCUUUGGCAGGCCCGUCUUCGGACCACCGGCUUCGGCUGGUCAGUGCUUGCCAGAGGACCCAAAACUCUUAUUAUUAAUGUCGUCUGAGUACUAUAUAAUAGUUAAAACUUUCAACAACGGAUCUCUUGGUUCUG